GUGGGCUGGAUGACCGCGGGUGCACCGCACCCGAGGAAAGUCCGGACUCCUCAAAGCAUUGGUGCCAGGUAACGCCUGGGCGGGGCAACCCGACGGAAAGCGCCACAGAAAUGAAACCGCCUGCGGUCCACGCAGGUAAGGGUGAAACGGUGGAGUAAGAGCCCACCGGGGAUCUGGCAACAGAUCCCGCAUGGCAAGCCCCACCAGGAGCAAUGCCAAAUAGGGACCUUGCGCAGGUUUGAUCGGGCAACCGAUAUCACUGCACGAUUGCUUUGAUCGAAAGGUCCGGGUUGGCAGCUAGAGGCCCGCAAGCAAUUGCAGGCCAAGAUGAAUGGUCAUCCAAGGGGGCAACCUCUGGACAGAAUCCGGCUUAUAGGCCCACC
Molecule: RNase P RNA, 383 nt
Filed under: marine eukaryotic metagenome
Description: Bacterial RNase P class A
Rfam family: Bacterial RNase P class A
About the family: Ribonuclease P (RNase P) is a ubiquitous endoribonuclease, found in archaea, bacteria and eukarya as well as chloroplasts and mitochondria.
Source: RNAcentral